GGCCCCAGUGGCAUAAUACUGUACUGCUUCAUUCAAUGUAUAGUGCAAACAGAUGAGGCCGGAGUUGAGGGUUCAGCAAUAGGAUUGAUACCGUUACCACCACGACUCCCUAGCCUGUUAACCAGGGGUCCUCCAGAAAGGGCUUCAUUAGGACUUCCAAGUUCAAAACAAAACAAAACAAGGCUAAGAUAGCAUACGAUUCACCCAGUAUUGUCUCUGUGGAGAGCUGGUGCUGAAAAUAGCCACUAUGUUUAACCCAGUUAUGAGCUCCUGAGGUCUAGUCUACUCAGGCAGCAGAAAGAGACAGUAGCCAGAGUUGUGUACGGUGGUACCUCAGGCUAAGAACUUAAUUCGUUCUGGAGGUCCGUUCUUAACCUGAAACUGUUCUUAACCUGAGGUACCACUUUAGCUAAUGGGGCCUCCCACUGCUGCCGCGCCACCAGCGUGCGAUUUCUGUUCUCAUCCUGAGGUAAACUUCUUAACCUGAGGUACUACUGGGUUAGCGGAGUCUGUAACCUGAAGCGUCUGUAACCUGAGGUACCACUGUAUUAUCUAAGCUGGCGGGAGAGGAUACCCAUUUUGAAUGCUUGCAUUAAAAAAAAAAUAAUCCCUGUAAACAAAAAGUCCAGGGCAUCAGGGAAAGUGGUAAUAAACCACCUGUUUCAUACUUGCUUAUUUUAUGGAAAUAAGCCCCCCCUCCCCCGGAAAGUGGUAAAGUCUUUUCCACUAUACCACAUUAAGAACGCAAGAUAAUAAAAUGAUAGGAAGAAGAGAACAUUUUAAAAUACAAUAUUAUUUUGACAUGAGGUGGGGAAAGAAUUUUUACCUUGUCAGGCUGGCUCCAUGAGCAUCAAAUGUUUUUUUAUUUCUGAAAGACGUUUCUACCCUGCCUUUUGGCUCCCAAAGUUCCUCACCUCAUCAAUUAAAAGCAACAUAACCCUGAAGCAUUUUCCCCCGAACUGAUUUUCUGUCUAGGACUAUUCGUUUUCCAUUAUACACCUGUAGGUGCCAAGCAAAAAUGUUCCUCUUCGACCAGGCCUUGGGCUGUGUCUUUUUACAUGUGUUUAUGGGAUGCGGGUUUAUUGGUUUGCUUUGUUCUCGUUUUUAGUAUGUAUUUUGUUUUUUUAUUUUGUAUUUAUAUGCCUUGAACCACCCAGAGCAUUUCAGGUGAGAGGCAGUAUACAAAUUUAAACAACAACAACAGAUAAUUAAAACUAACAUAUACAAUGCCUUUUAAGCCACAAGGAUUCUUCUAGGCACAGAGGGAAGAGCCUUUGACCUUCCUAAUGUUGUUGAACUGCGAAUCCCAUCAGUCCUAGCAAGCAUGGCUAAUAGCCAGGACUGAUGGGAGUUGCAAUUCAGCAAAGUCUGGAGGACAAACUGUGCCAUACAACUGACCAAGGCUGAGGAAGUGAGAUUUCUGGCUUGCACUUAGGAAGAUUGUGUGCCAACACGCUUGGUUGUACCCUAGUUUUGAUCCUGGUCCAUCUGUCUCUGCCUUAGCCCCUACCCUUUCUUGGGGGCCAGUAUUCCUAAAAUCAGAAGUUCAUAAGCUUAUCUGUUAAGCUUCUCACCUGCUGCUGGAGGAUAACAGUAAAUCUAAGGAGCGUCUCCACCCUCAUCGUUCAGCCCGGACACUGAGGUCCAGCUCCGAGGGCCUUCUGCUUGUUCCCUCGCUGCGAGAAGUGAAGUUACAGGGAACCAGGCAGAGGAACUUCUCGGUAGUGGCACCUGCCCUGUGGAACGCCCUUCCCAUCAGAUGUCAAGGAAAUAAACAACUAUCUGACUUUUAGAAGACGUCUGAAGGCAGCCCUGUUUAGGGAAGUUUUUAAUGUUUGAAAUUAUAUUCUGUUUUUAGUCCUCUGUUGGGAACCACCCAGAGUGGCUGGUAUAAAUAAAUAGUAUAACUAAUAAAAUAAUAAUAAUCAUUACUACUAAAAAACCUGCAGAGCUAAGUUCCUUAUUUUGGGCACCCCAGUACAGUGGUACCUCUGGUUACAUACGCUUCAGGUUACAGACUCUGCUAACCCAGAAAUAGUGCUUCAGGUUAAGAACUUUGCUUCAGGAUGAGAACAGAAAUCGUGCUCCGGCGGCGCAGCGGCAGCAGGAGGCCCCAUUAGCUCAAGUGGUGCUUCAGGUUAAGAACAGUUUCAGGUUAAGAAUGGACCUCCGGAACGAAUUAAGUACUUAACCUGAGGUACCACUGUAGUUGCGAUUGGCCAAGGCUUACUGUACCUCUCUCACUGAAACAGUAAACUUGUUUCUGAGCUGUACCACUUCAGAGUGCAGAGGGUAGGGCUUGCGUGCUGGAAUGUACCUCCAUGCAAAAUAUUCAUUGGAUGUAGAAGGUUACCACGUCAGGGAGAAGGGCAGGUUAUAGCCUGCCUCCCAAAUGCGCUAGUUUUUCGUUUUCUUUAUGCAGGGACAUUGAAACAUGUGAUUCUCCUACCUGCAGUCUGAAGUAGUACAACCCAGAAACAGCUUUGCCACCGCAGUGAGAACUAGGAUGUUCUCCUUAUAGCUCCAGAUGUUGUGUUUUUUCGCUUCUGAGUCACUUGUCUAGCCUCGCACAAUAAAACCAGGCAGGCUGGAGAAAUGUGCUCUGUGUGUGUGUGUGUGUGUGUGUGUGGUUUCUUUGUUCGUUUCAUUUCAUUUCUAUUUUUUUGCUUCCUUUCCAUCAGCUUUAACAUCAGAGAGGAUCAAGAGCCCUCAUUUGUACUUCAAAGUAUUCCACAGCAAAUUGGUAAAACCUAGAAAAGAAAUCCUGAAAAAUAAUGCCUGCCUCUUCUUCUUCCUUUCCGUUCUCACUUCUAUAGACCUAUUUGUCAGCAAAAAAUAAAUAAAUAAAAAUUAAACCCUGGCCGCCAAAGGGAUUUUCCCACCCCUUCCUCCUGCUUGUUUGCGUUGAAAUUGCUAGUUUCCUUGAAAAUACAACAGAUGCAGAGGUCACAACAAGGUACCUGACUUUCCCUACCAAAACGUGACAAAACGAAAUGCUUAACAAUCUGGAAGACUGAAUUCUUCAAAUCCAAACUUAAUCCUGGGUAUACUAUUUUUGCAAUUGUUAAUUCAAAAAGUUGUCUGCUCUAGCUAUCCUUAAAAUAUCUGUCUCCUUUU
RNAcentral lists this long non-coding RNA (3117 nucleotides) under Podarcis lilfordi (Lilford's wall lizard). Lineage: Eukaryota; Metazoa; Chordata; Lepidosauria; Squamata; Lacertidae. The record is from RNAcentral.